AGAAUCAACGCUGGCGGCGUGCUUCAGACAUGCAAGUCGAACGCGAAAGUUUCCUUCGGGAAGCGAGUAGAGUGGCGCACGGGUGAGUAACACGUAAGUAAUCUACCUUUGGGUGGGGAAUAACUCAGGGAAACUUGAGCUAAUACCGCAUAAUGCAGCGGCUCCUUAUGGAGACAGUUGUUAAAGUAUUUAUAUGCCUAAAGAGGAGCUUGCGGCAGAUUAGCUAGUUGGUAAGGUAAUGGCUUACCAAGGCAACGAUCUGUA
This 264-nucleotide ribosomal RNA is filed under the name uncultured bacterium. RNAcentral's name for it is "partial small subunit ribosomal RNA". It matches the Rfam family "Bacterial small subunit ribosomal RNA", at positions 26 to 285 of the family's 1533-position model. The record is from RNAcentral.